AUAGCAGGUCGGUUUGUCGCUCUGUUGCAAAACAGGGAGGAAAGUCCGGGCAACGCAGAGCACCAUACUUCCUAACGGGAAGCAGUCCGCGAGGGUUGAGUAACGUAACAGAAAAUAACCGUUUCGAUCCACAUUUUUCAUAGUUGUUUCUUUGUUGAAACAAUUGAAGAAUGCGAAAUAAGGGUGAAAAGGUGAGGUAAGAGCUCACCGGUACUUUUGGCAACAAAGGUAGCCGUACGUCUUAUGGGUUGCAAGAUCAUGUAUACCGGCGCAUGUAGGAUGGCUCGUCCGAUGCCGGGGGGUAGAUUGCUGGAGGCACAAGGUGACUUGUGUCCAAGAUAAAUGACAAACACUUCGUGAAAACGAAGCACAGAACCCGGCUUACAGACCUGCUGUUUUU
RNAcentral lists this RNase P RNA (400 nucleotides) under Paludibacter sp. Its description in RNAcentral is "RNase P RNA component class A". It matches the Rfam family "Bacterial RNase P class A". From Rfam's summary of the family: Ribonuclease P (RNase P) is a ubiquitous endoribonuclease, found in archaea, bacteria and eukarya as well as chloroplasts and mitochondria. Its best characterised activity is the generation of mature 5'-ends of tRNAs by cleaving the 5'-leader elements of precursor-tRNAs. The record is from RNAcentral. Lineage: Bacteria; Pseudomonadati; Bacteroidota; Bacteroidia; Bacteroidales; Paludibacteraceae.